Molecule: long non-coding RNA, 669 nt
Filed under: Gossypium barbadense (sea-island cotton)
Lineage: Eukaryota; Viridiplantae; Streptophyta; Magnoliopsida; Malvales; Malvaceae
Description: long non-coding RNA (GBAR_LNC018208)
Source: RNAcentral
GAGAUUAUGCCUAAUUCUAAGCAUGAUGUCAAAAAGAGUAGAUAUUAUCUUAUAUUAGUUAUAAAAUUAUUUUAAUUAUUAUUAAAUUACAUUAUAAAUUAAUAUAAGCAUAUCUUAAAUAUUUCAUUCAGAAAAUAAAUGUAUCUUAAAUAUAAUAUAUUUGCAAGAGUCGCCUUUUGUUUUGCUGGAAGACAAGCCAACACCGUCGCUCACACAUUGGUUAGAGAAGGUUGUCGAUUCUCGGUCCUGCGGUACUGGAUUGAGGAAGCGUUAUUGAUGGUGGAACGGGCGGCCAUAAGGAACCUACAACAAUGGUUUCAGCAGAAUUAAUAUGCACCUGAUUGCUUUGAAAUUUGGAGAUUUUUAAAUCAUUUACCUCCAACUGUUUCGAAAGCUCUUCUCUCUCUUUUGAUAUCAACGGUUUGUUCAUGUACCAGUAUUUUGGAGCUUGGAUCGGAGAGAAUUUUCCGAUCGGUUUUCAUCAAUUUAGGCGGAAAGAAAGGAAAGAGUUUUGUGUUUUUCUUUUUAGAUGGUAACCUUUCCUUAUCUGUUGAUUGCCAUUUCAAAUCUCGAGCAAUGUAUAGAAAGCCCAAGGAUGCUUUAUUUGUCUUGUGGUUUAUUGGGUUGGUGCAUUAAACUAAUGGAAGUUGGUUUUUUCUUGUUUUAAAA